Molecule: ribosomal RNA, 118 nt
Filed under: Diaphorina citri (Asian citrus psyllid)
Lineage: Eukaryota; Metazoa; Arthropoda; Insecta; Hemiptera; Psyllidae
Source: RNAcentral
GAUAGCGGCAAUAGCAUGUUGAAUGAUCCAGAUCCUAAGGGAUCACUGAAGUAAGACACAGUUGUGCGUGGUUGAUAUCCGGAUGGGUGACUAUCUGGACAAUCGCGUACUGCUGGCU